RNAcentral lists this long non-coding RNA (582 nucleotides) under Mytilus galloprovincialis (Mediterranean mussel). Lineage: Eukaryota; Metazoa; Mollusca; Bivalvia; Mytilida; Mytilidae. The record is from RNAcentral.
GGUUAUGAUUUGCUCGGAGGGGUAGGUGGGGGAGGUGUUAUGGCUCAAACCGUUUAGGAAUUAGAGGCAAAAAAAGAGGGAAAAACAAGGGUUUCUUGGUUAAUGGUCAAUUAAGACAAUUUGAAACCAGUGUAAGGAAGGUAAUCCAAAUAUAUUAAGGUAAUCCAGACAUGUUUGAUUACCUCCCUUACACUGCUUUAAAAUUAUGUGUAAAGAUUUUUUUUUUCCAUAUCAGAUUUCAGAAAUUAAAAAGAAAAAAAGUGGGGGAUACAUUUUUCUUUUCUUGAGGUUGGGGUCAGUAUGCAACAGCAUAGUAUAUUGCACAAAACAACAAAAAAAGGAGGGUAUUUUUUUAAUUUUUGGAGGGGGUGGGGCAAUUCGCAACAGCGUAGUGCAAAAGCAAAAAAAUAAGUAUAAAUUCAAAUUAUAUAACCAAUUUUUAGUUCUUUGACUACAGUUAUUCUGUGUCAGAAACCUAUUAUGUGUCAAAUAUUUAAUUACAUUCCAAAUUCAGACCUGAAUCAAGCGUGAAUAGUGUGUCCAUUUUUGUCCGAACGGUUCAGGGUUGGACCUCUGCGGUCG